This 264-nucleotide ribosomal RNA is filed under the name uncultured archaeon. RNAcentral describes it as "partial 16S ribosomal RNA". It matches the Rfam family "Archaeal small subunit ribosomal RNA", at positions 717 to 982 of the family's 1478-position model. The record is from RNAcentral.
ACACGACUACAUUAGAUACCCGGGUAGUCCUGGCCGUAAACGAUGUGGACUUGGUGUUGGGAUGGCUCCGAGCUGCCCCAGUGCCGAAGGGAAGCUGUUAAGUCCACCGCCUGGGAAGUACGGUCGCAAGACUGAAACUUAAAGGAAUUGGCGGGGAGCACCACAACGCGUGGAGCCUGCGGUUUAAUUGGACUCAACGCCGGGAAGCUCACCGGAUAAGACAGCGGAAUGAUUGCCGGGCUGAAGACCCUGCAUGACCAGCUG